This 895-nucleotide small RNA is filed under the name Pan troglodytes (chimpanzee). RNAcentral describes it as "retained intron". The record is from RNAcentral. Lineage: Eukaryota; Metazoa; Chordata; Mammalia; Primates; Hominidae.
GGAGAAGAGCUCUGAGCCCAGGAGCACAGAAAGGCCAGUGCCACAGUGAGCACUUGCUGUCCGCAUCUAAGGAGCUGUCAGGCUCCUCUGGGGUGUCUGCCCAGCCACAGUCCGCAGUCCCGCCUCUGUGGGUGCAGGGGGUGGUGGGCUGCCCAGGUUCCCAGCUCAUUUCUGUCCUCACAGCCUGGGCAGCCAGUACCGGAGCGUGCGGCAGAAGGCAGCUGGGAGCAAACGCACGCUGCAGCAGCGGUAUGAGGUGCUGAAGACUGAGAAUCCCGGAGAUGCCUCUGACCUACAGGGGCGGCAGCUGCUGGCUGGCUUGGAUAAGGUGGCCAGCGACCUGGACCGGCAGGAGAAGGCCAUCACAGGGAUCCUGCGGCCACCACUGGAGCAAGGCCGGGCUGUGCAGGACAGUGCCGAGCGGGCCAAGGACCUCAAGGUACCUGCGGGUCAGGAGCACAGGUGGAGCCGGGGGAGCCCUGCACUGGCCCCCUGGGGCCCCUAUUUGAGGUCUUUUCCCCAUGGAGUCUUGGGAUAUUCACUGCAGCUGUCUGACAGGGACAGCCUGCUGCAUGUAACCGGGUCCCGAGUCAUGGAGGUGGCAGGGCUGCUGUCAUUACCUCCCCAGGAGAAAGAGCUGGCAAGACUUGCAUUGUUCCUGCACGGCUUGUCGAUCUGACACCUGGCAUGGCACUUGGGCUGUGGAAUUCCGCAGGACUGGGUCACCGGCUGGCUUGACCGCACAUGUUAGCGUUUAUAUUUAUAAACUCCAGGCCUCAGUGUCUUCAGUAGGAUGGGUUGGCCCUGCUCACAGGGCAGUGGCGAGGACAGGGUGAGCUGAUGCUAGGGGGGACGUGGAGGGGCCACCUCCCCCCACCUCCUUUCCUAUACAAAG